CUUUUUCUUCGAUUUGAACUCUAAGAAAAAAUUACGCUGUUAUCCCUAAGGUAAUUUUUCUUUUAAUCUUAAAAAAAGGAUCAUUUUUUUCAUUUAUUCAUGAAAAUUAAAAAAAAAAGUUUAUUAAAUUUUUCAAUCACCCCAAUCAAAUACUUUUUAAUAAAAUAAAUUAAAAUUCCUAAAUUUAAAUUUUAAAAAUAAAAUAUUAAACUCUAUAGGGUCUUCUCGUCUUUUAUAUAAAUUUAAGCUUUUUAACUUAAAAAUAAAAUUCAAAAUUUUUAAAUUGAGACAGCUAUUUUUUCAUCAAACCUUUCAUUCCAGCUUUCAAUUAAAAAACUAAUGAUUAUGCUACCUUAGCACAGUCAAAAUACUGCGGCCGUUAAA
Molecule: ribosomal RNA, 384 nt
Filed under: Ips perroti
Lineage: Eukaryota; Metazoa; Arthropoda; Insecta; Coleoptera; Curculionidae
Description: partial 16S ribosomal RNA
Source: RNAcentral